Molecule: transfer RNA, 72 nt
Filed under: Verrucomicrobiales bacterium
Lineage: Bacteria; Pseudomonadati; Verrucomicrobiota; Verrucomicrobiia; Verrucomicrobiales
Also listed under: 2 other names
Description: tRNA-Lys
Rfam family: tRNA
About the family: Transfer RNA (tRNA) molecules are approximately 80 nucleotides in length.
Source: RNAcentral
GCCUCGCUAGCUCAAUGGUAGAGCAACGGACUCUUAAUCCGCAGGUUCCCGGUUCGAGCCCGGGGCGGGGUA